Molecule: ribosomal RNA, 675 nt
Filed under: uncultured bacterium
Lineage: Bacteria
Description: bacterial SSU rRNA
Rfam family: Bacterial small subunit ribosomal RNA
Source: RNAcentral
UCGAGCGAGAAGUGGAGCAAUCCAUGAGUACAGCGGCGUACGGGUGAGUAACACGUGGAUGAUCUGCCUCUUAGUGGGGAAUAACCCUGGGAAACCGGGGCUAAUACCGCAUAAGCCUGAGAAGGGAAAGCAAGCAAUUGCGCUGAGAGAGGAGUCCGCGGCCGAUUAGCUAGUUGGUGGGGUAAAGGCCUACCAAGGCGACGAUCGGUAGCCGGCCUGAGAGGGCACACGGCCACACUGGCACUGAAACACGGGCCAGACUCCUACGGGAGGCAGCAGUGGGGAAUCUUGCACAAUGGAGGCAACUCUGAUGCAGCGACGCCGCGUGAGCGAUGAAGCCCUUCGGGGUGUAAAGCUCUUUCGGCAGGAACGAUAAUGACGGUACCUGAAGAAGAAGCUGCGGCUAACUACGUGCCAGCAGCCGCGGUAAUACGUAGGCAGCGAGCGUUGUUCGGAAUUACUGGGCGUAAAGAGUGUGUAGGCGGUGCUCUAAGUUCGGUGUGAAAUCUCCCGGCUUAACUGGGAGGGUGCGCCGGAAACUGGAAUGCUCGAGCGUGGGAGAGGAAAGCGGAAUUCCUGGUGUAGCGGUGAAAUGCGUAGAUAUCAGGAGGAACACCUGCGGUGUAGACGGCUUUCUGGACCAUAGCUGACGCUGAGACACGAAAGCGUGGGUAG